CUUCAUCCAGCUGUUUGUAAUACGUUUCCUGAUUUGUUGAAGCGAAUUUAUUACUACAUUUUGAAAGCCUUUGCUUGUUUUUAAACAGCAAAGAUUGUACACAUAUAUGUUGUAUUCUCUAGUUUGAAUACGGUUUUAUAGCUGGAUCAUGGGGACCAAGCAAAGCCUUCCUGCGACGAAGAAAGAAGAGGGCCAGCAGCAGACGCUGGGGGGCUGUUAUGAGUAAAAGGCUUCAGGAAACACAAGAGCCCAUCAUCACACCUGUAACGACAUAUCCAGCGCAACUAGAAGACCCCCCUGUAAAGAAUGUGAAGAAAUGGGUUCCUUUACUGGGUGUCAGAGUGUUGCUGCUGGCAUUUGGCAGGAUAUUCCAAAUCUGGAGGAACAGCCUGAGCCGAGCUGCCCCAGUCAACUGUAAGUGCUGUUAUGGUGAAGUGAAAACUUAUAGGAGCAACAUCGGCUCAGCCGCAAAGUGGUAGGCCACACAAGCUCACAGAACGGGACCGCUGAUUUGUUGGAAAGGUGGCAUC
This is a long non-coding RNA of Salvelinus namaycush (lake trout), 530 nucleotides long. RefSeq lists it as uncharacterized. The record is from RefSeq and is a predicted model, not a curated record. NCBI's taxonomy places the organism in Eukaryota, Metazoa, Chordata, Actinopteri, Salmoniformes, Salmonidae. The transcript has 4 exons.